Long non-coding RNA from Aegilops tauschii subsp. strangulata, 1299 nucleotides. RefSeq lists it as uncharacterized. NCBI's taxonomy places the organism in Eukaryota, Viridiplantae, Streptophyta, Magnoliopsida, Poales, Poaceae. The record is from RefSeq and is a predicted model, not a curated record.
UCCGUCCCCCAGAGAUUCCCCGCGCAAGAAGAUCCCUGCUCUGCUCCCCCUCCUUGCUCCCCUCCUCCUCCGCCGCGUUGCUUCCCGGCGAGGAGAAGCAUCGAUUUUUCCUGCUCCACCACCGCCACAGCUUGCCACCGCCGUAACUGCCUCCUCCGCGGCUCUCUCCUGCUCGCGCAGCUCCAGCUUGCCUUCCUCCCCUAGCUUCCCUAGUGACCGCCGCGCUCUGCUCCGGCUGCUUCAGAUCCGGCGUCGGCAAGGCUGAUAUGGUGGCUGCGAGGCCAGACGGCAGGAGACGUAGCCGACGAGCCCGACGACAGCAAGCUUGAUGGCGAGCUCGACGGCGGCGGAGACGUCUUCUGUACUGCGAGCUCCACCAUCCCUGCACAUACUGUACUGCGAGCUCGACGACGGCGGUGGCAUCUUCUUGGCAGGGACCAGGGCCAGGAAUUGAAAAGCAAACAAAAGCAGGGGCCAGGAGUACAUCUCAACUUUUACUGUAUUUCUUGUUGACAACUAGUGCAGAGCAAGCAAGCAAGCAAUGUACACAGAUCAGUUGUGUUUCAAACUACAGAGCAAGCAAGCAAGGCACUGGAGAUGAACAAAUUACAGAGCCAUGUACUUCUCACCAGCAGCAGCACGAGCCGGUGGCCUCAGGCGACAGCACACGAGAAGGGGAGCUCUGGGCGGCAGCACACGAGAAGGGGAGCUCCGGGCGGCAACACGAUUAGGGGAGGAGCAGCAAGUUGCGGAGAAGCAGCAGAAGGGGUCCAGGACCGUGAAAGAACUUGAGGAUGAGCUUGAGGGAGCUCGUGGUCCAGGCGCGGCGGGAGCUCGUGGUCCAGACGCUCGAGACCCAGGCGCGCGCGGGUCCUGGGCGGCGGCGGCGCAGGCCCUGCGAGGAAGGAGGGGAUAUCGUCGGCGCAGGUCCUGGGCCGCGGAGGAGCACGUCCUGUGCGGCGACGGAGCAAGCAGGGCGGCGCGGAUCCUGGGCCGUGGAGGAGCACGUCCAGUGCGGCGGCGGAGCAAGCAAUUGGGCGGCGCAGGUCCUGGGCUGACGACUGGCCCUGGCGACGCGCGCCGGCGACGGGCGGAGGAAGAAGGAAGGAGACGCGACCUGUAUGGCGACCUGUUUGUAAGAAAUUUGAAGUUAUGAGGGUGUUUUUGAAAAAUUGGCAUUACACUAUGUUGUGGAGAACUUUUCCCGGACGGAGGGAGUACAUUCUUAGGAAGGAACUCCAGAGGAUGAAGAAGAGGCUCGACAGAUUAUUCGUCGAUCCAAAGCCUUUACUGUGAUAA